GUAGUCUCGCACAGAUGCAUAUCAAUAAGCGGAGGAAAAGAAACUAACAAGGAUUCCCCUGGUAACGGCGAGUGAAGCGGGAAGAGCUCAAAUUUGAAAUCUUAAAGGGUUUCCCUUUACGAAUUGUAGUUUAAAGAAGUGUUUUCUGUUGAGGUUUUGGUAAAAGUUCUUUGGAAUAGGACAUCAUAGAGGGUGAGAAUCCCGUAUUUGACCUUUACUUUCAACUUCGUGAUACACUUUCAAAGAGUCGGAUUGUUUGGGAAUGCAGUCCAAAAUGGGUGGUAAAUUUCAUCUAAAGCUAAAUAUUGGCGAGAGACCGAUAGCGAACAAGUACCGUGAGGGAAAGAUGAAAAGAACUUUGAAAAGAGAGUUAAACAGUACGUGAAAUUGUCAAAAGGGAAGCGUUUGACACCAGUGUUGUUUUUCUGAAAAUCAAUUAAAGAACUGUUUAUGCUAAGCUGUUUAGACUUUAUCAGCUAACUGUUUAGUUUUGAGCUUUUAUUUAAUGUACUUUUCAGUUAACAAGUCAACAUCAAUUUCUUUUGUUGUAAAAAGGUAGAGGAAGGUGGCUUGCGCUUCGUCUCAAGUGUUUAUAGCCUUUUAGCCUCUGCAGUCGGAGAGAUUGAGGUCUGCAGCGUAGAUCCUUCGGGGUUAAAUGACAUUUGUGCUAAGUUAUAGCAUUUUCAUAGACAACUUGUUGACUAUGAUUAGUCUUGUAGCUUACUCGCUUAUGCUAUUUUACCUACGCUUAGGAUGUUGAAGCAUCGUAUCGCGC
This 775-nucleotide ribosomal RNA is filed under the name uncultured Neocallimastigales. Its description in RNAcentral is "partial large subunit ribosomal RNA". It matches the Rfam family "Eukaryotic large subunit ribosomal RNA", at positions 24 to 645 of the family's 3401-position model. The record is from RNAcentral. Lineage: Eukaryota; Fungi; Neocallimastigomycota; Neocallimastigomycetes; Neocallimastigales.